GUGCGAAGGUAGCGCAAUCACUUGUCUUUUAAAUGGAGACCUGUAUGAAUGGCAUAACGAGGGCUUAACUGUCUCCUCUUUCAAGUCAAUGAAAUUGAUCUCCCCGUGCAGAAGCGGGGAUAAAACCAUAAGACGAGAAGACCCUAUGGAGCUUUAGACACCAAGGCGGCCCACAGUUAAUGACACCAAAACAAAGGACCAAACAACACAACACUCCGCCCUAAUGUCUUUGGUUGGGGCGACCGCGGGGUAGUACAAAACUCCCGCGUGGAACGAGAGGACUUCCCUCUUACAGCUAAGAGCUACCGCUCUAAGAAACAGAAUUUCUGACCUAUUAGAUCCGGCUUACGCCGAUCAACGGAACGAGUUACCCUAGGGAUAACAGCGCAAUCCCCUUUUAGAGCCCAUAUCGACAAGGGGGUUUACGACCUCGAUGUUGGAUCAGGACAUCCUAAUGGUGCAGCCGCU
This 468-nucleotide ribosomal RNA is filed under the name Branchiostegus auratus (yellow horsehead). RNAcentral's name for it is "partial 16S ribosomal RNA". It matches the Rfam family "Bacterial large subunit ribosomal RNA", at positions 1948 to 2563 of the family's 2925-position model. The record is from RNAcentral. Lineage: Eukaryota; Metazoa; Chordata; Actinopteri; Malacanthidae.